ACACCAUGAUGAGGGCACCUUAACAAAUAUGUUCCUUGAAUCUCUCCCAAGCAUCGGACACUACUUCAUCGUCCCCUUCUUGCAGUAGUAAAAUUGCAUUUCUAAGUUU
Molecule: small nucleolar RNA, 109 nt
Organism: Cynara cardunculus var. scolymus (artichoke)
Lineage: Eukaryota; Viridiplantae; Streptophyta; Magnoliopsida; Asterales; Asteraceae
Source: RefSeq, a predicted model, not a curated record